Molecule: long non-coding RNA, 307 nt
Filed under: Rattus norvegicus (Norway rat)
Lineage: Eukaryota; Metazoa; Chordata; Mammalia; Rodentia; Muridae
Description: long non-coding RNA NONRATT002482
Source: RNAcentral
CCUCGCCUCCGCGCGGUUUCCAUUGAAGUCUUAAGAGCAAGCACCUUGGAGCUCCAGAUCUUCCACCACAUUCCACAGCUCUUCUUCCUCGCAGUUCUGACUAAACUCCUAGAGGACCGCUAAGCAUCUGGUUGCUGACAGAACACGGUCUGGACCCAGGGUGAUCAUGCCAACUGACUGGACUUCAACCCUGGAAGCUACAUCAUUGGCCCCAGAAGAUCCUGGGAGCUCCAGUGAGGGAUUAGUGUCCUUCAUGGAUGUGACUAUAGAUUUCAGCAGAGAGGAGUGGCAGCAUCUAGACCCUGCU